Oncorhynchus tshawytscha (Chinook salmon) is the source of this 730-nucleotide long non-coding RNA. The record is from Ensembl. NCBI's taxonomy places the organism in Eukaryota, Metazoa, Chordata, Actinopteri, Salmoniformes, Salmonidae.
AGGAGGGUUAGCUGAGCAUUAGGAGGGUUAGCUGAGUGUUAGGAGGGUUAGCUGAGCGUUAGGAGGGUUAGCUGAGCGUUAGGAGGGUUAACUGAGCAUUAGGAGGGUUAGCUGAGCGUUAGAGAUGUUCAGGACGACGAGGGCUUUGCAAUCACAGUUGAUCAUGUGCAUGAUUUUAAAAAUUGUCAAACCUCAACAUAUUCAAUGUAAUAAAUCCAUCAGACAUUGCUCAUGUCCAAGGAGGACUCUGCUAAAAAUGUGUCUGUUAUUACAAAAUGGACAGGAGUGAUGUGAUAUAUGAUGAAGUUAGAUAUGAAAACAUUUGUUUAAAAAAUAAAAAAAAAUAAAAAAAAUGUACUCACCUUCAAUAUAUAAAUGAAACCCUAUCCAGACAGCAUCCAGACGAAGAACCAGAAAGCAACUGGAAACCAGAGUAUAGAGAUGCCUUCAACCAAAAGGUUGUUGUGUUCUAGCCAUGUUCUCUUGACGAGUGUGUGCAGUUCGUCUUCUGACUCCGCACAGUAAAAAGACAAUGAACGGGGAAGAGUACAAAUCAACCAAACCACAGGUCACUCACAGCUUCCUCUUUUCAGCUUCUCUGUGCCAUUUUAUCUGAGGACAAAGUGGCACACUCAUGUACAGCCACACAAGCCUUGCUCCAAUAUUACACAAUCACUCACACAUUUCAUGCAUUUUUUUCGUUCUUCAGUUCAUACACUUUCAAAAGCUU